AAUGAACGUUGGCGGCGUGGAUUAGGCAUGCAAGUCGAGCGAGAAGUUUUAAAAAGAUGCUUCGGUUGAUUUUUAAAACGGACAGCGGCGAAAGGGAGAGUAACGAGUAGAUACGUACCCAAGGGUUCGGGAUAGCCAUGCGAAAGCGUGAGUAAUACCGAAUAAUGUCUCCGGACCAAAGAUUUAUUGCCCUUGGAGCGGUUUGCUUACUAUUAGCUUGUUGGUGGGGUAAAGGCCUACCAAGGCUUAGAUGGUUAGCGGGUGUGAGAGCAUGACCCGUCUCACUGGGACUGAGACACUGCCCAGACACCUACGGGUGGCUGCAGUCGAGAAUCUUCCGCAAUGGACGAAAGUCUGACGGAGCGACGCCGCGUGCUGGAUGAAGGCCCUCGGGUUGUAAACAGCUGUCGUAGGGGAGGAAAUUUUGACCGAUCCUAGGAGGAAGCACAGGCUAAGUUCGUGCCAGCAGCCGCGGUAAUACGAACUGUGCAAACGUUAUUCGGAAUCACUGGGCUUAAAGGGUGCGUAGGCGGGUUGGUAGGUCAGAUGUGAAAGCCCACGGCUCAACCGUGGAAUUGCGUUUGAAACCACUAGUCUUGAGGGGAUCAGAGGAGAGCGGAACUGAUGGUGGAGCGGUGAAAUGCGUUGAUAUUAUCAGGAACACCGGUGGCGAAAGCGGCUCUCUGGGAUCCUUCUGACGCUGAGGCACGAAAGCUAGGGGAGCGAACGGG
RNAcentral lists this ribosomal RNA (731 nucleotides) under uncultured bacterium. RNAcentral describes it as "bacterial SSU rRNA". It matches the Rfam family "Bacterial small subunit ribosomal RNA", at positions 28 to 776 of the family's 1533-position model. The record is from RNAcentral.